This 252-nucleotide ribosomal RNA is filed under the name uncultured Bacteroidales bacterium. RNAcentral describes it as "partial 16S ribosomal RNA". It matches the Rfam family "Bacterial small subunit ribosomal RNA", at positions 524 to 776 of the family's 1533-position model. The record is from RNAcentral. Lineage: Bacteria; Pseudomonadati; Bacteroidota; Bacteroidia; Bacteroidales.
UACGGAGGAUGCGAGCGUUAUCCGGAUUUAUUGGGUUUAAAGGGUGCGUAGGCGGUCCGUUAAGUCAGCGGUAAAAAUGCGGUGCUCAACCCCGUCGUGCCGUUGAAACUGACACCCUUGAGUGAGUGAGAAGUAAGCGGAAUGCGUGGUGUAGCGGUGAAAUGCAUAGAUAUCGCGCAGAACCCCGAUUGCGAAGGCAGCCUGCCGGCCCCACACUGACGCUGAGGCACGAAAGCGUGGGGAUCGAACAGG